AAUAGCUUAAAGGCAGAGCGUUUGACUGUUAAUCAAUAAGUUGGUGGUUCGAUUCCAUCUU
This 61-nucleotide transfer RNA is filed under the name Pelagomonas calceolata. It matches the Rfam family "tRNA", at positions 6 to 65 of the family's 71-position model. From Rfam's summary of the family: Transfer RNA (tRNA) molecules are approximately 80 nucleotides in length. Their secondary structure includes four short double-helical elements and three loops (D, anti-codon, and T loops). Lineage: Eukaryota; Pelagophyceae; Pelagomonadales; Pelagomonadaceae. The record is from RNAcentral.